CUACGGGGGGCAGCAGUGAGGAAUAUUGCACAAUGGGGGGAACCCUGAUGCAGCAACGCCGCGUGGAGGAUGACGCAUUUCGGUGUGUAAACUCCUUUUAUAUGUCAAGAAAAUGACGGUAGCAUAUGAAUAAGCACCGGCUAACUCCGUGCCAGCACCCGCGGUAAUACGGAGGGUGCAAGCGUUACUCGGAAUCACUGGGCGUAAAGGACGCGUAGGCGGGUUGGAAAGUCAGGAGUGAAAUCCUACAGCUUAACUGUAGAACUGCACUUGAAACUUCUAAUCUAAAGUAUGGGAGGGGAGAUGGAAUUAGUGGUGUAGGGGUAAAAUCCGUAGAUAUCACUAGGAAUACCUAAAGCGAAGGCGAUCUCCUGGAACAUUACUGAUGCUAAGGCGUGAAAGCGUGGGGAGCAAACAGGAUUAGAUACCCGAGUAGUC
RNAcentral lists this ribosomal RNA (438 nucleotides) under uncultured bacterium. RNAcentral's name for it is "partial 16S ribosomal RNA". It matches the Rfam family "Bacterial small subunit ribosomal RNA", at positions 339 to 795 of the family's 1533-position model. The record is from RNAcentral.